UACAGAGGGUGCAAGCGUUGUUCGGAAUUACUGGGCGUAAAGCGCGUGUAGGCGGUCUGUUAAGUCUCGUGUGAAAGCCCUGGGCUCAACCCAGGAAGUGCGCGAGAUACUGGCGGACUGGAGUGACGGAGAGGAUGGCGGAAUACCCGGUGUAGAGGUGAAAUUCGUAGAUAUCUGGAGGAACACCGGUGGCGAAGGCGGCAUCCUGGACCAAUUCUGACGCUGAGGAGCGAAAGCCAGGGGAGCAAACGGG
RNAcentral lists this ribosomal RNA (253 nucleotides) under uncultured bacterium. RNAcentral describes it as "partial 16S ribosomal RNA". It matches the Rfam family "Bacterial small subunit ribosomal RNA", at positions 524 to 776 of the family's 1533-position model. The record is from RNAcentral.